GGUAUGGGAUGAGCUUGCGUCCGAUUAGCUAGUUGGCGGGGCAACGGCCCACCAAGGCGACGAUCGGUAGCCGGCCUGAGAGGGUGAUCGGCCACAUUGGGACUGAGAUACGGCCCAGACUCCUACGGGAGGCAGCAGUAGGGAAUAUUGCACAAUGGGGGAAACCCUGAUGCAGCAACGCCACGUGUGGGAAGAAGCAUUUCGGUGUGUAAACCACUGUCAUGAGGGAAUAAGGCCCGCUUUCGGACGGGAUUGAAUGUACCUUGAGAGGAAGCACCGGCAAACUUCGUGCCAGCAGCCGCGGUAAUACGAGGGGUGCAAGCGUUGUUCGGAAUUACUGGGCGUAAAGGGAGCGUAGGCGGAGAUUCAAGCGGAUUGUACAAUCCCGGGGCCCAACCCCGGCUCUGUAGUCCGAACUGGAUCUCUUGGAUAGUUCAGGGGCAGGC
Molecule: ribosomal RNA, 446 nt
Filed under: uncultured bacterium
Lineage: Bacteria
Description: bacterial SSU rRNA
Rfam family: Bacterial small subunit ribosomal RNA
Source: RNAcentral